CUGCUGCUAAAACUUCCACUACAGAUGCAAGAAAAGGAUGUCUUCACACUAUCUGUCUGGUUGUGGCAGCCAAGAUUGAAUAGGAGAAUACAGGA
Molecule: small nucleolar RNA, 95 nt
Filed under: Dasypus novemcinctus (nine-banded armadillo)
Lineage: Eukaryota; Metazoa; Chordata; Mammalia; Cingulata; Dasypodidae
Description: Small nucleolar RNA SNORA31 (ENSDNOG00000043447.1)
Source: RNAcentral